AACGUAGGAGACAAACGUUAUCCGGAGUUACUGGGCGUAAAGGGCGUGCAGGUGGUCUGUUAAGUCUGGCGUGAAAGCUCCUGGCUAAACCGGGAGAGGUCGUUGGAUACUGGCGGACUAGAGGACGGUAGAGGCGUGUGGAAUUCCGGGUGUAGUGGUGAAAUGCGUAGAGAUCGGCAGGAACACCCAGGGGGAAACCAGUGGACUGGGCAUGUGCUGACGCUCAGGUGCGAAAGCGUGGGGAGCGAACCGG
Molecule: ribosomal RNA, 253 nt
Filed under: uncultured bacterium
Lineage: Bacteria
Description: partial 16S ribosomal RNA
Rfam family: Bacterial small subunit ribosomal RNA
Source: RNAcentral